CUCCCAGGCUCAAGUGAUCCUCUCAUGUCUGCCUACCAAGUAGCUGGGACCACAGGCAUGCGCCACCACAUCCAGCUAAUUUUUUGAUUUUUUUUUUGUAGAGACAAAAAAAAGUGUUGUCCAGGCUGGUCUCGAACUCCUGGGCUCAAGCAGUCCUCUUGCCCCGGCCUGCCAAGUAGCUGGAACUAUAGGCGUGUGCCCCACACCCGGCAGGCAUGGGGUUUCAGGCAGCAGAGGGUGGCAGGAUCGGCUGCUCUGAUCCAAGAGGCUCCCGGCUCUCCCCCAGCUGGGGUCUUAGGGGGCUGUAGUGCAUGUCCACUCUACAAAUGGCAGGGGGGGUGGAGGUGGCUGUGCCUACGCUGAGCUCCUUUGUAGCCUCUCCUUUCUCCCUCUCCAGGGAAGAGGACCCAGAUGAUGUGCCCCAUGGACAUAUCACCUCAUUGGCUGUGAAGCGUUCCCACCGGCGCCUUGGUCUGGCUCAGAAACUGAUGGACCAGGCCUCUCGAGCCAUGAUAGAGAACUUCAAUGCCAAAUACGUCUCCCUGCAUGUCAGGAAGAGGUGGAAGCCGGGCUGAGGGAAGGGGGAUUGAGGGGGAGAGAUACUGCCUUGACGGGGGUCCUGGGGUACCUCAGCUUUUGGUGAAGAUCCAGGAAGUGGGACUGGGGGGAAGGAGGGACCAGGAGGAGGGGCAAGACCUGGACGUGCUACCCCUCCCUGGCCAAAUCCGUGCAGCUCAGCAGUGCCUUGUUCCCCUGCAGUAACCGGGCCGCCCUGCACCUCUAUUCCAACACCCUCAACUUUCAGUAA
This 808-nucleotide small RNA is filed under the name Pan troglodytes (chimpanzee). Its description in RNAcentral is "retained intron". Lineage: Eukaryota; Metazoa; Chordata; Mammalia; Primates; Hominidae. The record is from RNAcentral.